UGGGGGAUAUUGCACAAUGGGGGAAACCCUGAUGCAGCGACGCCGCGUGGAGGAAGAAGGUUUUCGGAUUGUAAACUCCUGUCGUUAGGGACGAUAAUGACGGUACCUAACAAGAAAGCACCGGCUAACUACGUGCCAGCAGCCGCGGUAAAACGUAGGGUGCAAGCGUUGUCCGGAAUUACUGGGUGUAAAGGGAGCGCAGGCGGGAAGACAAGUUGGAAGUGAAAACCAUGGGCUCAACCCAUGAAUUGCUUUCAAAACUGUUUUUCUUGAGUAGUGCAGAGGUAGAUGGAAUUCCCGGUGUAGCGGUGGAAUGCGUAGAUAUCGGGAGGAACACCAGUGGCGAAGGCGGUCUACUGGGCACCAACUGACGCUGAGGCUCGAAAGCAUGGGUAGCAAACAGGAUUAGAUACCCUGGUAGUCCAUGCCGUAAACGAUGAUUACUAGGUGUUGGGGGAUUGACCCCCUCAGUGCCGCAGUUAACACAAUAAGUAAUCCACCUGGGGAGUACGACCGCAAGGUUGAAACUCAAAGGAAUUGACGGGGGCCCGCACAAGCAGUGGAGUAUGUGGUUUAAUUCGAAGCAACGCGAAGAACCUUACCAGGUCUUGACAUCCGAUGCAUAACACAGAGAUGUGUGAAAUCCUUCGGGACAUCGAGACAGGUGGUGCAUGGUUGUCGUCAGCUCGUGUCGUGAGAUGUUGGGUUAAGUCCCGCAACGAGCGCAACCCUUAUGGUCAGUUACUACGCAAGAGGACUCUGGCCAGACUGCCGUUGACAAAACGGAGGAAGGUGGGGAUGACGUCAAAUCAUCAUGCCCUUUAUGACCUGGGCUACACACGUACUACAAUGGCGUUAAACAAAGAGAAGCAAGACCGCGAGGUGGAGCAAAACUCAAAAACAACGUCUCAGUUCAGAUUGCAGGCUGCAACUCGCCUGCAUGAAGUCGGAAUUGCUAGUAAUCGUGGAUCAGCAUGCCGCGGUGAAUACGUUCCC
This 996-nucleotide ribosomal RNA is filed under the name uncultured bacterium. RNAcentral's name for it is "bacterial SSU rRNA". It matches the Rfam family "Bacterial small subunit ribosomal RNA", at positions 355 to 1375 of the family's 1533-position model. The record is from RNAcentral.